RNAcentral lists this non-coding RNA (185 nucleotides) under Nitrospiraceae bacterium. RNAcentral's name for it is "6S RNA". It matches the Rfam family "6S / SsrS RNA". Rfam says of the family: E. coli 6S RNA was the first non coding RNA to be sequenced, but its function was unknown until recently. The record is from RNAcentral. Lineage: Bacteria; Pseudomonadati; Nitrospirota; Nitrospiria; Nitrospirales; Nitrospiraceae.
AUGAGCCUGCCCUGUUAGUGAUGGGUGAAAGAUGUUAAUCCACCAAGUUAGAUCUUACGGGAGCUGGAUGAAAGGGUACGGUGUGCAUGUCUUCCCAGUUGAAGAAAGCCUGAAGUCCCUUUCGGGGCGCCCACUUGUCAAAAGGGGAUCUAACGCCUUCACCCGCACGGCAGGGUGGGUUUUUU